RNAcentral lists this non-coding RNA (46 nucleotides) under Schistosoma margrebowiei. The record is from RNAcentral. Lineage: Eukaryota; Metazoa; Platyhelminthes; Trematoda; Strigeidida; Schistosomatidae.
AUCCAGUUGACGAAUCUCAUACUAGGACGAAACGCAUGUCCUGGAU